RNAcentral lists this ribosomal RNA (497 nucleotides) under uncultured bacterium. RNAcentral's name for it is "partial 16S ribosomal RNA". It matches the Rfam family "Bacterial small subunit ribosomal RNA", at positions 28 to 507 of the family's 1533-position model. The record is from RNAcentral.
GAUGAACGCUGGCGGCGUGCCUAAUACGUGCAAGUCGAGCGAACAGACGAGGAGCUUGCUCCUCUGACGUUAGCGGCGGACGGGUGAGUAACACGUGGAUAACCUACCUAUAAGACUGGGAUAACUUCGGGAAACCGGAGCUAAUACCGGAUAAUAUAUUGAACCGCAUGGUUCAAUAGUGAAAGACGGUUUUGCUGUCACUUAUAGAUGGAUCCGCGCCGCAUUAGUUAGUUGGUAAGGUAACGGCUUACCAAGGCGACGAUGGGUAACCGACCUGAGAGGGACGUCGGACAGACGGGAACUGAGACAGGGUAGCGACUCCUACAGGAGGCAGCAGUAGGGAAUCUUACGCGAUGGACGAAAGCUUAACGGUGCAACGCCGCGUGAGUGCUGAUGGUCUUCGGAUCGUAAAGCUCUGUUAGUAGGGAAGAACAAAUGUGUAAGUAACUAUGCACGUCUUGACGGUACCUAAUCAGAAAGCCACGGCUAACUACGUG